GCUAGUGUGGCAGCGCCAGGAGAAUGCAAAAGACCUAAGCCCUUUCUACAGAAGUUCAAAUCCUCUCUCUAGCC
This 74-nucleotide transfer RNA is filed under the name Herpele squalostoma. RNAcentral's name for it is "tRNA-Leu". It matches the Rfam family "tRNA". Rfam says of the family: Transfer RNA (tRNA) molecules are approximately 80 nucleotides in length. Their secondary structure includes four short double-helical elements and three loops (D, anti-codon, and T loops). The record is from RNAcentral. Lineage: Eukaryota; Metazoa; Chordata; Amphibia; Gymnophiona; Herpelidae.